Molecule: long non-coding RNA, 135 nt
Organism: Anguilla anguilla (European eel)
Lineage: Eukaryota; Metazoa; Chordata; Actinopteri; Anguilliformes; Anguillidae
Exons: 3
Source: RefSeq, a predicted model, not a curated record
AUUCCCAGUGGGUCAGAAGUUCACAUACACUCUGGAUUUCUGGAAUUUUGGCCCAUUCCUCCUGACAGAACUGGUGUAACUGAGUCAGGUUUGUAGGCCUCCUGGCUUGCACAUGCCUUUUCAGUUCUGCCCACA